This 255-nucleotide ribosomal RNA is filed under the name uncultured fungus. RNAcentral describes it as "partial small subunit ribosomal RNA". It matches the Rfam family "Eukaryotic small subunit ribosomal RNA", at positions 1313 to 1591 of the family's 1831-position model. Lineage: Eukaryota; Fungi. The record is from RNAcentral.
CUUGCUUAAUUGCGAUAACGAACGAGACCUUAUCCUGCUAAAUAAGACAGGCCAGCUUUGGCUGGUCGCCGGCUUCUUAGAGGGACUUUCGGCUCAAGCCGAAGGAAGUUUGAGGCAAUAACAGGUCUGUGAUGCCCUUAGAUGUUCUGGGCCGCACGCGCGCUACACUGACAAAGCCAACGAGUUAUUCACCUUGACCGAAAGGUUUGGGUAAUCUUAGAAACUUUGUCGUGCUGGGGAUAGAGCAUUGCAAUC